UCAAUCGUGUUCUCCAUGAAU
This 21-nucleotide non-coding RNA is filed under the name Caenorhabditis elegans. Lineage: Eukaryota; Metazoa; Nematoda; Chromadorea; Rhabditida; Rhabditidae. The record is from RNAcentral.